Molecule: ribosomal RNA, 492 nt
Filed under: uncultured bacterium
Lineage: Bacteria
Description: partial 16S ribosomal RNA
Rfam family: Bacterial small subunit ribosomal RNA
Source: RNAcentral
AGUGAACGCUGGCGGUAGGCCUAACACAUGCAAGUCGAACGGCAGCACAGUAAGAGCUUGCUCUUACGGGUGGCGAGUGGCGGACGGGUGAGGAAUACAUCGGAAUCUACUUUUUCGUGGGGGAUAACGUAGGGAAACUUACGCUAAUACCGCAUACGACCUACGGGUGAAAGCAGGGGAUCUUCGGACCUUGCGCGAUUGAAUGAGCCGAUGUCGGAUUAGCUAGUUGGCGGGGUAAAGGCCCACCAAGGCGACGAUCCGUAGCUGGUCUGAGAGGAUGAUCAGCCACACUGGAACUGAGACACGGUCCAGACUCCUACGGGAGGCAGCAGUGGGGAAUAUUGGACAAUGGGCGCAAGCCUGAUCCAGCCAUACCGCGUGGGUGAAGAAGGCCUUCGGGUUGUAAAGCCCUUUUGUUGGGAAAGAAAAGCAGCAGGUUAAUACCCCGCUGUCCUAACGGUACCCAAAGAAUAAGCACCGGCUAACUUCGUG